RNAcentral lists this ribosomal RNA (253 nucleotides) under uncultured bacterium. RNAcentral describes it as "partial 16S ribosomal RNA". It matches the Rfam family "Bacterial small subunit ribosomal RNA", at positions 524 to 776 of the family's 1533-position model. The record is from RNAcentral.
UACGGGGGGGGCAAGCGUUGUUCGGAAUUACUGGGCGUAAAGGGCACGCAGGCGGUGCGGCGCGUUUCGCGUGACAGCGGAGGGCUUAACUCUCCGAGGAUGCGAAAGACGGCGGCACUUGAGGGCCAGAGAGGGACACGGAAUUCCGGGUGGAGUGGUGAAAUGCGUAGAGAUCCGGAGGAACACCAGUGGCGAAAGCGGCCACCUGGACUGUACCUGACGCUGAAACGCGAAAGCUAGGGGAGCGAACGGG